GGUGUUAUGGUUCAGCGGUAGAGUGCUCACCUCACAUGUGUGAGACCCUGGGUUUGAUCCUCAGCACCA
This 69-nucleotide transfer RNA is filed under the name Marmota monax (woodchuck). It matches the Rfam family "tRNA". Rfam says of the family: Transfer RNA (tRNA) molecules are approximately 80 nucleotides in length. Their secondary structure includes four short double-helical elements and three loops (D, anti-codon, and T loops). Lineage: Eukaryota; Metazoa; Chordata; Mammalia; Rodentia; Sciuridae. The record is from Rfam by way of RNAcentral.